UACGUAGGUGGCAAGCGUUGUCCGGAUUUAUUGGGUUUAAAGGGUGCGUAGGCGGUUCUAUAAGUCAGUGGUGAAAUCCGGCAGCUCAACUGUCGAUGUGCCAUUGAUACUGCAGAACUUGAGUACAGACGAGGUAGGCGGAAUUGACGGUGUAGCGGUGAAAUGCUUAGAUAUCGUCAAGAACACCGAUAGCGAAGGCAGCUUACUAGACUGUAACUGACGCUGAUGCACGAAAAGUGUGGGGAUCGAAACAAGGAGUUA
RNAcentral lists this ribosomal RNA (261 nucleotides) under uncultured bacterium. Its description in RNAcentral is "partial 16S ribosomal RNA". It matches the Rfam family "Bacterial small subunit ribosomal RNA", at positions 524 to 784 of the family's 1533-position model. The record is from RNAcentral.